GCUGGAGUGCAAUGGCAUGAUCUUGGCUCACUGCAGCCUCCACCUCCUGGGUUCAAGCGGUUCUCGUGCCUCAGUCUCCCAAGUAGCUGGGAUUACAGGCUGGAGUGCGAUGGCAUGAUCUUGGCUCACGGCAAACUCCGCCUCCCUGGUUCAAGUGAUUCUCCUGCCUCAGCCUCCCGAGUAGCCGGGAUUACAGGCAUGUGCCACCAUGCCCCGUUGGCCAGGCUGGUCUCGAACACCUUACCUCAGGUGAUCCUCCCACCUUUGGGAUUACAGGCUGAGGAAUUACCAAGGAGGCAGGAGGUGGAGCAAAACACACCAAGCCUGGUGCCAAUCAUUGACAAUAUUAUGACCCUGCAUGUGAUGGAUCAGCUGACACCAUCCAGAUCGGUAAACUGGUUCAUCUGAUCUUGUGCCCUCCACCCAGGAACUGACUCAGCGCAAGAAGACAGCUUCGACUCCUUGUGAUUUCAUCCCUAACCAAUCAGCACUCCUGGCUCACUGGCUUCCCCCAACCCACCAAAUUGUCCUUAAAAACUCUGCUCUCCAAACGCUG
Molecule: long non-coding RNA, 556 nt
Filed under: Homo sapiens (human)
Lineage: Eukaryota; Metazoa; Chordata; Mammalia; Primates; Hominidae
Description: LHRI_LNC1942.10
Source: RNAcentral